GGGUUGUGAGGUUAAGCGACUAAGCGUACACGGUGGAUGCCCUGGCAGUCAGAGGCGAUGAAGGACGUGCUAAUCUGCGAAAAGCGUCGGUAAGGUGAUAUGAACCGUUAUAACCGGCGAUGUCCGAAUGGGGAAACCCAGUGCAAUUCGUUGCACUAUCGUUAACUGAAUACAUAGGUUAACGAGGCGAACCGGGGGAACUGAAACAUCUAAGUACCCCGAGGAAAAGAAAUCAACCGAGAUUCCCCCAGUAGCGGCGAGCGAACGGGGAGCAGCCCAGAGUCUGAAUCAGCUUGUGUGUUAGUGGAACGGUCUGGAAAGUCCGACGGUACAGGGUGAUAGUCCCGUACACCAAAAUGCACAGGUUGUGAACUCGAAGAGUAGGGCGGGACACGUGGUAUCCUGUCUGAAUAUGGGGGGACCAUCCUCCAAGGCUAAAUACUCCUGACUGACCGAUAGUGAACCAGUACCGUGAGGGAAAGGCGAAAAGAACCCCGGCGAGGGGAGUGAAAAAGAACCUGAAACCGUGUACGUACAAGCAGUGGGAGCACCUUCGGGUGUGACUGCGUACCUUUUGUAUAAUGGGUCAGCGACUUAUAUUCUGUAGCAAGGUUAACCGUAUAGGGGAGCCGCAGGGAAACCGAGUCUUAACUGGGCGUUAAGUUGCAGGGUAUAGACCCGAAACCCGGUGAUCUAGCCAUGGGCAGGUUGAAGGUUGGGUAACACUAACUGGAGGACCGAACCGACUAAUGUUGAAAAAUUAGCGGAUGACUUGUGGCUGGGGGUGAAAGGCCAAUCAAACCGGGAGAUAGCUGGUUCUCCCCGAAAGCUAUUUAGGUAGCGCCUCGUGAAUUCAUCUUCGGGGGUAGAGCACUGUUUCGGCUAGGGGGUCAUCCCGACUUACCAACCCGAUGCAAACUACGAAUACCGAAGAAUGUUAUCACGGGAGACACACGGCGGGUGCUAACGUCCGUCGUGAAGAGGGAAACAACCCAGACCGCCAGCUAAGGUCCCAAAGUCAUGGUUAAGUGGGAAACGAUGUGGGAAGGCACAGACAGCCAGGAUGUUGGCUUAGAAGCAGCCAUCAUUUAAAGAAAGCGUAAUAGCUCACUGGUCGAGUCGGCCUGCGCGGAAGAUGUAACGGGGCUAAACCAUGCACCGAAGCUGCGGCAGCGACACUAUGUGUUGUUGGGUAGGGGAGCGUUCUGUAAGCCUGCGAAGGUGACCUGUGAGGGUUGCUGGAGGUAUCAGAAGUGCGAAUGCUGACAUAAGUAACGAUAAAGCGGGUGAAAAGCCCGCUCGCCGGAAGACCAAGGGUUCCUGUCCAACGUUAAUCGGGGCAGGGUGAGUCGACCCCUAAGGCGAGGCCGAAAGGCGUAGUCGAUGGGAAACAGGUUAAUAUUCCUGUACUUGGUGUUACUGCGAAGGGGGGACGGAGAAGGCUAUGUUAGCCGGGCGACGGUUGUCCCGGUUUAAGCAUGUAGGCUGGUUGUCCAGGCAAAUCCGGAUAAUCAAGGCUGAGGUGUGAUGACGAGGCACUACGGUGCUGAAGUAACAAAUGCCCUGCUUCCAGGAAAAGCCUCUAAGCAUCAGGUAACAUCAAAUCGUACCCCAAACCGACACAGGUGGUCAGGUAGAGAAUACCAAGGCGCUUGAGAGAACUCGGGUGAAGGAACUAGGCAAAAUGGUGCCGUAACUUCGGGAGAAGGCACGCUGGUGUGUAGGUGAAGUCCCUGCGGAUGGAGCUGAGACCAGUCGAAGAUACCAGCUGGCUGCAACUGUUUAUUAAAAACACAGCACUGUGCAAACACGAAAGUGGACGUAUACGGUGUGACGCCUGCCCGGUGCCGGAAGGUUAAUUGAUGGGGUUAUCCGUAAGGAGAAGCUCUUGAUCGAAGCCCCGGUAAACGGCGGCCGUAACUAUAACGGUCCUAAGGUAGCGAAAUUCCUUGUCGGGUAAGUUCCGACCUGCACGAAUGGCGUAAUGAUGGCCAGGCUGUCUCCACCCGAGACUCAGUGAAAUUGAACUCGCUGUGAAGAUGCAGUGUACCCGCGGCAAGACGGAAAGACCCCGUGAACCUUUACUAUAGCUUGACACUGAACAUUGAGCCUUGAUGUGUAGGAUAGGUGGGAGGCUUUGAAGCGUGGACGCCAGUCUGCGUGGAGCCAACCUUGAAAUACCACCCUUUAAUGUUUGAUGUUCUAACGUUGGCCCCUGACCGGGGUUGCGGACAGUGUCUGGUGGGUAGUUUGACUGGGGCGGUCUCCUCCCAAAGCGUAACGGAGGAGCACGAAGGUUAGCUAAUCCUGGUCGGACAUCAGGAGGUUAGUGCAAUGGCAUAAGCUAGCUUGACUGCGAGCGUGACGGCGCGAGCAGGUGCGAAAGCAGGUCAUAGUGAUCCGGUGGUUCUGAAUGGAAGGGCCAUCGCUCAACGGAUAAAAGGUACUCCGGGGAUAACAGGCUGAUACCGCCCAAGAGUUCAUAUCGACGGCGGUGUUUGGCACCUCGAUGUCGGCUCAUCACAUCCUGGGGCUGAAGUAGGUCCCAAGGGUAUGGCUGUUCGCCAUUUAAAGUGGUACGCGAGCUGGGUUUAGAACGUCGUGAGACAGUUCGGUCCCUAUCUGCCGUGGGCGCUGGAGAAUUGAGGGGGGCUGCUCCUAGUACGAGAGGACCGGAGUGGACGCAUCACUGGUGUUCGGGUUGUCAUGCCAAUGGCACUGCCCGGUAGCUAAAUGCGGAAGAGAUAAGUGCUGAAAGCAUCUAAGCACGAAACUUGCCCCGAGAUGAGUUCUCCCUGAGACUUUAAGUCUCCUGAAGGAACGUUAAAGACGAUGACGUUGAUAGGCCGGGUGUGUAAGCGCAGCGAUGCGUUGAGCUAACCGGUACUAAUGAACCGUGAGGCUUAACCUUACAACGCCGAAG
Molecule: ribosomal RNA, 2923 nt
Filed under: Klebsiella pneumoniae
Lineage: Bacteria; Pseudomonadati; Pseudomonadota; Gammaproteobacteria; Enterobacterales; Enterobacteriaceae
Description: bacterial LSU rRNA
Rfam family: Bacterial large subunit ribosomal RNA
Source: RNAcentral